Molecule: long non-coding RNA, 344 nt
Filed under: Nicotiana benthamiana
Lineage: Eukaryota; Viridiplantae; Streptophyta; Magnoliopsida; Solanales; Solanaceae
Description: long non-coding RNA (NBEN_LNC021990)
Source: RNAcentral
UCGUGGUGCACAUACAUUUAAGUGCCCGAAUUUAGGAAUAACUAGUUGGUCUAGGCUGCCAAUCCAUGAUGCUGAUUUUGGCUGGGGUAGGCCUAUAUUUAUGGGACCUGGUGGUAUUGCUUAUGAAGGUUUAAGCUUUAUAUUGCCAAGUCCUACAAAUGAUGGCAGUCAAUUGUUGGAUUGCGUAUAGGUGUUCGUAACACGCAGUGGAAGACAAUAACAAUCCAAGGUAGAUUUUCUCAUGUUUAAAAUUUAUUUACGUGUCAAAGAACGGAUCAAAUACGUACCUGGUGAAGAAAGUCUCGUUUCAAAAUUCUUCGAUAGUGCGAAGACUCUAUGCGUAU